This 365-nucleotide ribosomal RNA is filed under the name Forstera sp. CG273. RNAcentral's name for it is "partial 16S ribosomal RNA". Lineage: Eukaryota; Metazoa; Arthropoda; Arachnida; Araneae; Cyatholipidae. The record is from RNAcentral.
UAGCAUAAUCAUUAGUCUUUUAAUUAAAGACUUGUAUGAAAGAUUUAACAAUUUUAUUACUUUUUUUAAUUUAAUAUUUUUAAAUUAUAUUAUAAAUAAAAAUAUUUAUAUCUAAAUAAAAGACGAUAAGACCCUAUUAAACUUUACUUUAGUUAAGCUGGGGAAGCUAAUUAAUUAUUAUUUUAAUGUAUUUUUUUAAAAACUACCCCUGUAACACAGAUUAUAUUAAGUUACUAUAGGGAUAACAGCGUAAUUUUUUUUAAUAGAUCUUAUUUAAAAAAAAUAUUGCGACCUCGAUGUUGAAUAGUUUCCUAAAAAAUGCAAUAAUUUUUAAAGGUGGUCUGUUCGACCAAUAAUUUUCUACA